CCUACGGGUGGCUGCAGUGGGGAAUAUUGCACAAUGGGCGCAAGCCUGAUGCAGCCAUGCCGCGUGUGUGAAGAAGGCCUUCGGGUUGUAAAGCACUUUCAGCGGGGAGGAAGGCGUUAAGGUUAAUAACCUUGUCGAUUGACGUUACCCGCAGAAGAAGCACCGGCUAACUCCGUGCCAGCAGCCGCGGUAAUACGGAGGGUGCAAGCGUUAAUUGGAAUUACUGGGCGUAAAGCCCACGCAGGCGGUCUGUCAAGUCGGAUGUGAAAUCCCCGGGCUCAACCUGGGAACUGCAUUCGAAACUGGCAGGGUAGAGGCUUGUAGAGGGGGGGUAGAAGUCCAGGUGUAGCGGUGAAAUGCGUAGAGAUCUGGAGGAAUACCGGUGGCGAAGGCGGCCCCCUGGACAAAGACUGACGCUCAGGUGCGAAAGCGUGGGGAGCAAACAGGAUUAGAUACCCGUGUAGUC
RNAcentral lists this ribosomal RNA (466 nucleotides) under uncultured Klebsiella sp. RNAcentral describes it as "bacterial SSU rRNA". It matches the Rfam family "Bacterial small subunit ribosomal RNA", at positions 338 to 795 of the family's 1533-position model. Lineage: Bacteria; Pseudomonadati; Pseudomonadota; Gammaproteobacteria; Enterobacterales; Enterobacteriaceae. The record is from RNAcentral.